CUGGUUGUCAAGUCAACGUUGACAACAAAAAUAUUGUUUUUUUUCCUCAAUUUUAUACUUUUCUUACUUUAAAAAGCUCUUCACUACUUUAUACAAUUAUAUUUGCCCCUAUACUAUACUUGCGGUAGUGAUCUAUCGUCGUACAAGAAAAUCUGUUGCCAUAAAAUAUAUCCGCUUUAAAUUUUUCAAGAACAGAUUUGUAUUAUCUUUGAAAAAUGCAAUGUUCUGUUGGAAUUAAGACUGAAUUCAAGAAAAUCAACACGCUCUGUUAUGCUUGCUUAGCGUCUGAUAGGAUUCUUGAACCUUUAGGUGCGUUUACUGGAGUUUAUCGGAACAUAUGUAACAGUUGGGAUUCGGGGACAUAUUUAGAUGUGCUUGUCUGCUGGGAGUGCAAAAGUCUACUGAAACGUGUCAAACAAUUUACUGAAAAAGCUGAUCAGUCACAGAACAUACUAUAUUCCUAUAUACCUGGUGCUGAUGAGAAACCGCCCAAAUGUCUAUCAAAGUUGUCAACGUCAAAAACACUGACAUUCGACUCCCUGCAACCAAUAGAAACUGAGCCAGAGACGGUAGAUAACGUACAACCACCGGAGAUAAAAGAAGAAAUCGAGGACAUACCGGACAACACAUCCGAUGUCAUAAAAGACUUUGAGUACGAACUGUUAGAUGAAGUCAAAGAGGAGAACUUAUCAAACACGUUACUAAACGAACUAAAGAGCAUCAAAAAAGAAAAAAAACACAGGUCUAAACAUUUUACAAUUAUCCCUCUGCCCGAUGUGAAAGAAAUGGUGAAACAAGUGAAAAUCAAUCCGUCUGAGAUAGAUUAUUGGAGGGACAAAGAGAGAAGUAGCACGUACUUUCAAAGUUUGCCAUCUAGAUGUGAAUUGUGCAUAAUGCAGAUACCGAAAAAUCACACUAUUCAACGUCAUAUGAGCCAUUUUCAUGGGAAGAAUAAGAAAAAAAACCGCUACCCUUGCAACAUCUGUGAACGGGUACUCUCGACCAAAUUCAAGCUGGGGAGGCAUAUAGCUGCUCACAGCAUAAUUCUGGAGUGCACCGCGUGUGGAUACCAGUGUUGCGGCAAACAGCACAUGAGGUGCCACAUUGGCAAGCACAAGAGGACCGAGCAGUGUGCCUACUGCUCCACCAGAUAUGAAAAUGUGAGAGAAUUCUACAAUCACUACAGAGAGGUGCAUUGCAAGUUUAUAUGCGAUUACUGUAACAAGAAAUGCGUCACCAAACGGGUUAUAGAAAAGCAUAUUAUGAGGCACCACACGGAAAUGCAAUGCAAGAUAUGCGAUAAAACCUUUGCCUCUUACACCAACUUGCUAAACCAUAACCAAUUAAAACACGAGAGCAACCCAACAGAGGCUUCAUUCUGUGUUGCGUGUAACAUCCAGUUUGAAAAUGUAGCUAUCUUUAAGCGGCACCUCUAUACCAGCGUCGCGCACGCCAAGGAAAGGGCUCAGACCACGAGGUACGGAAAUAUGUCAAGAGAAAAUUUGUGUGUCCGAAGUGCCCUAACGCGUAUGCGAGCAAAUACAGCAUGGUGAAUCAUUAUUCCAUGGUGCAUAGCGACCAGAAAAACGCGAGGUACUACUGCGCGGACUGUGAUAAGUUCUUCCUAAACAGGACGCGGUUACGUGAUCACCAGAAGUACAGUCACGAGGGGCUCGUGCCGCGUAAGGAUAAACUGUGCAGCUUCUGCGGGCGGGGAUUCUCG
RNAcentral lists this unclassified non-coding RNA (1723 nucleotides) under Pectinophora gossypiella (pink bollworm). Its description in RNAcentral is "pR domain zinc finger protein 5-like". Lineage: Eukaryota; Metazoa; Arthropoda; Insecta; Lepidoptera; Gelechiidae. The record is from RNAcentral.